RNAcentral lists this ribosomal RNA (497 nucleotides) under uncultured bacterium. RNAcentral's name for it is "partial 16S ribosomal RNA". It matches the Rfam family "Bacterial small subunit ribosomal RNA", at positions 28 to 507 of the family's 1533-position model. The record is from RNAcentral.
GAUGAACGCUGGCGGCGUGCCUAAUACAUGCAAGUCGAGCGAACGGACGAGAAGCUUGCUUUUCUGAUGUUAGCGGCGGACGGGUGAGUAACACGUGGAUAACCUACCUAUAAGACUGGGAUAACUUCGGGAAACCGGAGCUAAUACCGGAUAAUAUUUUGAACCGCAUGGUUCAAAAGUGAAAGACGGUCUUGCUGUCACUUAUAGAUUGAUCCGCGCUGCAUUAGCUAGUUGUUAAGGUAACGGCUUACCAAGGCAACGAUGCAUAGCCGACCUGAGAGGGUGAUAGGCCACACGGGAACUGAGACACGGUACAGACGCCUAAGGGAGGCAGCAGUAGGGAAUCUUACGCAAUGGGCGAGAGCAUGACGGAGCAACGCCGCGUGAGUGAUGAAGGUCUUCGGAUCGGAAAACUCUGUUAUUAGGGAAGAACAUAUGUGUAAGUAACUGUGCACAUCUUGACGGUACCGAAUCAGAAAGCCACGGCUAACUACGUG